RNAcentral lists this ribosomal RNA (253 nucleotides) under uncultured bacterium. RNAcentral's name for it is "partial 16S ribosomal RNA". It matches the Rfam family "Bacterial small subunit ribosomal RNA", at positions 524 to 776 of the family's 1533-position model. The record is from RNAcentral.
UACGUAGGGGGCAAGCGUUGUCCGGAAUUAUUGGGCGUAAAGGGCUCGUAGGCGGUUUGUCGCGUCUGCUGUGAAAGCUCGGGGCUUAACCCCGGGCCUGCAGUGGGUACGGGCAGGCUAGAGUGCGGUAGGGGAGACUGGAAUUCCUGGUGUAGCGGUGAAAUGCGCAGAUAUCAGGAGGAACACCGGUGGCGAAGGCGGGUCUCUGGGCCGUAACUGACGCUGAGGAGCGAAAGCGUGGGGAGCGAACAGG